UUUACAAAAGAAAACAGAGCGUUCCUGCUUCUUGUUGGUGUGAAAACUCUUCAGUGGUCUUCGUGCUCACAGAUCAAGCUUUGUGGCAUUGUCUACUUCUCGAGCUCGUGGUCUUCGUGCUCACAGAAAUUUCAUGGUUUGAUCUUCUUCUCGAUUUCUACUUCGGCACCGAGAUCUUCAAGUGGAUCUGUGCAAGUAUUUUCGUGGGUCACCAACUCCGUGUGGGUCAUCUUCAAGAGGCCAUAAGCAACCACUGAGUUGGUCUUCUUCGUCGUGUGGGUAUUUUUGUGGGUAUUUUCUACUGGGUCAUCUUCGUGUGGAUGUGGGUCAUCUUCGCGGGGGUCAUCUUCAUGGUGAGGGGCAAAUACUUACGAGCAAGGUUCUCCAGCUCGUGAAAACUCAUCUUCACUCCUCGGAGAGAAUUUCAUCCAGCUCUCAAAUUACACUUCUUAUUUAUGUUGCAUUUUUUACUUUGUUUCUUCGAUGUGUUUGAUGCGAGAUCUAACCAACUACCCGUUGUCUUGACUUUCCAUUGUUUAAGCAAUAGUUGGGUGGUCAAGGAGUUGAGGAAGCCCAAGCAAGCUCUUGAGGAGUAUUGUCUGUGGAGGCUGUGCUGCUUAGGACAUGUUGAAGCUGCAAUGGAGUGUAGUCACACUUUGAGCAAAUGCAUUUAUGUUUAAUUGUAUAAUGUAAUUUAGCUUCAUUCCCAAACUGGCCAGAAUAGAAGUGGGACAGGAUGGAGUUAUUCCCAUGUACUGUUAAUUAGUCUCUCUUAUUAUAGUUUGUGCCGUUUUGGCACUAAGAUAAAAUGUUAAAGAGUCUUGUGGUUUUUCAUGGUCAAAACAGAUAGGUAUAUUUAUUUAUGCUGGAGUUAGUACCCAGGUUUUGUCUCCAUUGUUUUUUUCUUGAAUGAGAACUCUAAGUGGUACUCAUAUCCUUCGGUUGGAAUAUAGGUUUUAAGUAAUGAAAAUGCCAUUUUUUGAGUUUUGGUA
Molecule: long non-coding RNA, 992 nt
Organism: Carya illinoinensis
Lineage: Eukaryota; Viridiplantae; Streptophyta; Magnoliopsida; Fagales; Juglandaceae
Exons: 3
Source: RefSeq, a predicted model, not a curated record